This 236-nucleotide ribosomal RNA is filed under the name uncultured bacterium. Its description in RNAcentral is "partial 16S ribosomal RNA". It matches the Rfam family "Bacterial small subunit ribosomal RNA", at positions 96 to 334 of the family's 1533-position model. The record is from RNAcentral.
UGGCGAACGGGUGAGUAACACGUGAGUGAUCUGCCCUCAACUUCGGGAUAAGCCUGGGAAACUGGGUCUAAUACUGGAUAGGACCAUCCUUUAGUGUGUGAUGGUGGAAAGUUUUUUCGGUUGGGGAUGAGCUCGCGGCCUAUCAGCUUGUUGGUGGGGUAAUGGCCUACCAAGGCGUCGACGGGUAGCCGGCCUGAGAGGGUGUACGGCCACAUUGGGACUGAGACACGGCCCAG